GACGAACGCUGGCGGCGUGCUUAACACAUGCAAGUCGAACGGAAAGGCCCUGCUUUUGUGGGGUUCUCGAGUGGCGAACGGGUGAGUAACACGUGAGUAACCUGCCCUUGACUUUGGGAUAACUUCUGGAAACUGGGGCUAAUACCGGAUAGGAGCUCCUGCUGCAUGGUGUGGGUUGGAAAGUUUCGGCGGUUGGGGUUGGUCUCGCGGCUUAUCAGCUUGUUGGUGGGGUAGUGGCUUACCAAGGCUUUGACGGGUAGCCGGCAUGAGAGGGUUAACGGCGACAAUGGGACUGAGAUACGGCACAGACUACAACGGGAGGCAGCAGUGGGGAAUAUUGAACAAAGGGCGGAAGCCUGAUGCAGCAACGCCGCGUGCGGGAUGACGGCCUUCGGGUUGUAAACCGCAUUCGCCUGUGACGAAGCGUGAGUGACGGUAAUGGGUAAAGAAGCACCGGCUAACUACGUG
This 468-nucleotide ribosomal RNA is filed under the name uncultured bacterium. RNAcentral's name for it is "partial 16S ribosomal RNA". It matches the Rfam family "Bacterial small subunit ribosomal RNA", at positions 28 to 507 of the family's 1533-position model. The record is from RNAcentral.